Non-coding RNA from Ceratotherium simum simum (southern white rhinoceros), 139 nucleotides. The record is from RefSeq and is a predicted model, not a curated record. Lineage: Eukaryota; Metazoa; Chordata; Mammalia; Perissodactyla; Rhinocerotidae.
GGGACAGUGGAGGCUGUGUCUCCAUUGACGGGACCUAGUUCCUGCGGCUCUGGUCGGGGUGGCUGAUCUGGUUCUUGGCACCUCUUUGUGAGGGAUUUGCAGCAGCUCAGCCUCUGUGUCCGCAGCCCAUCUUCCUCCA